This 63-nucleotide transfer RNA is filed under the name Blastopsylla occidentalis. Its description in RNAcentral is "tRNA-Leu". Lineage: Eukaryota; Metazoa; Arthropoda; Insecta; Hemiptera; Aphalaridae. The record is from RNAcentral.
CUAUUUUGGCAGAAAAAAUGUGUUAAAUUUAGGAUUUAAAUAUGUAAGAAUUUACAGAUAGAA